CCUACGGGAGGCAGCAGUAGGGAAUAUUGCUCAAUGGGAGAAAUCCUGAAGCAGCAACGCCGCGUGGAGGAUGAAGGCUCUAGGAUUGUAAACUCCCUUUGUUAGGGGAGAUUAUGCCGGUAUCUAACGCAUAAGCACCGUCUAACUCCGUGACAGCAGCCCCAGUAAUACGCCGGGUGCAAGCGUUACUCGGAAUCACUGGGCGUAAAGAGUGCGUAGGCGGGGUAAUAAGUCAGAUGUGAAAUCCUGUGGAGUAACGACAGAACUGCAGUUGAAACUGUUACUCUGGAGUGUGGGAGAGGUAGGUGGAAUGCGUGGUGUAGGGGUAAAAUCCGUAGAGAUCAAGAGGAACACUCAUUGCGGAGGCGACCUGCUGGAGCCUGACUGACGCUGAUGCACGAAAGCGUGGGGAGCGAACAGGAUUAGAUACCCUAGUAGUC
This 440-nucleotide ribosomal RNA is filed under the name uncultured bacterium. RNAcentral describes it as "partial 16S ribosomal RNA". It matches the Rfam family "Bacterial small subunit ribosomal RNA", at positions 338 to 795 of the family's 1533-position model. The record is from RNAcentral.